This 119-nucleotide ribosomal RNA is filed under the name Jaculus jaculus (lesser Egyptian jerboa). Lineage: Eukaryota; Metazoa; Chordata; Mammalia; Rodentia; Dipodidae. The record is from RNAcentral.
GUCUACGGCCAUACCACCCUGAACGUACCGGAUCUUGUUAGAUCUUGGAAGCUAAGCAGGCUUGGGCCUGGUUAGUACUUGGAUGGGAGAAUGCAGAGUGAACACCCAAGUUAAAGGUA